RNAcentral lists this long non-coding RNA (3783 nucleotides) under Pelobates cultripes (western spadefoot toad). The record is from RNAcentral. Lineage: Eukaryota; Metazoa; Chordata; Amphibia; Anura; Pelobatidae.
CAGGUAAUGCUCCUGUCUGCAGUCCCGCACAGAGUGAAUUUUGGAAUCUCUCAGUGAGUGAGUAAUGAAAGAUUAUUCAUGAGUCACCAAGUGUCUUUUUAUCCGCCAUUUCUAUCUUUUCUAAUUUCUAAUAUUUGUCAUGAGACUUGCCAUUUGGUAUCUGGGUGGGAGUCGGGAACCAGGGGGUCUCUGUUCUGGGUUAUUGAAUAUUAACCAACAAUGGUUAAUUUCAGAGGCUGGGUCAACUGGUGAAGAAAUAGAUUAGAGAGACACAUAUACAUAGACAGAGAUCAUUAUUGGUUUUACCAUUAAACUGGAAUCAACUCACACUAUAGCAUUGGGUCAGGAAGGUGCCCCUCAACCAUGGUCAGUCCAUGCCGGUGUUUGCGGGUAGUACUCACUUACCCAUCUGUCAAUGCCGGUGUGUGGCCGGUAGUACUCCCUUGCCAGUCUGUCCAUGCCGAUGUAGGGCCGGUAGUUCUCCCUUACCAGUCAGUUUAUGCCGGUGUAUGGCUGGUAGUACUCCCUUACUGCUCAGUCCAUGACGGUGUUUGUGGUUAGUACUCACUUACCAGUUAGUCCAUGCUGGUGUUUGCGUGUAGUUCUCUGUGACAAACUCCCUGUGGUCUUAUUGUUUGCCACAAGCUCCUGGAGAAGCCUGCUUGCCUGCCUCUUGCCUCAGCACUAUGGGCCCUGCAAUAUACCUUGUCCAAUGCACUUUAAAAGGCUCUAUUCAUGUGAUUUAUGUACUUUUGUACUCCAUAAAGAGAGACCGACCGUUAGCCUUGAUUCCCUGGAGCUGUUUUGGGCAUAGGACCAUGUGCACGGUCGGUCAAAUAAUUGACUUCCAUUAAAAAAUCCUGAACCCCUGAACCGAUCUGGGUGAGUUUUGGAUAUAUUGGUCACCCAGAUCAUGGGAUGUAACUUUUGUGGGGUUUUUAUGUGUUUUGGGGGUUUUGUUACAUUGCCAGUUUCUGUACUCGGAGAUAAUCUAAUUAUAUGUUUGUGUGCUUAGGUAAUUAUCUCUCAGGCACAGGGGAGGAGUGUGUUAGAUGUUUGCUUGUAACUAGUCUCCUCUCAGGUCCAUAGGGAGGGAGAAAUUAUCCUAUUUUGUGUGGGACUGUUAUGGGUGUGUUUACUGUGGCCCUGUACUGUAUAAAAGCGGGCCAUUGAGCCUGGAUUAAACACAUUAGUUUUACCCCUUCAUAAAGCCUAGGCUCAUAUUUUGGAGAUUGAAGACCUCCAAUCACUACUCUGCUGGAAACAGGAGAGCUAUAAUCACUGCAGCACUUGGGAUUCUGGAGACUACUAACGGAUAUUCUCAGCCGUAGUAUAGGGGAUCCAUUAAAUACUCACUUACCAUUCAGUCCAUGGUGGUGUUUGUGGGUAGUACUCACUUACCAGUCAGUCCAUGAUAUUGUUUGCAGGUAGUACUCCCUUACCAGUCAGUUCAUGCUGGUGUAUGGCUGGUAGUAUUCCCUUACCAGUCAGUUCAUGCUGGUGUAUGGCCCGUAGUACUCCCUUACCGCUCAGUCCAUGCCCGUGUAUGACCGGUAGUGCUCCCUUACCAGUCAAUCCAUGCCGGUGUAUGGCCGGUAGUACUCCCUCACCAGUCAGUCCAUGCUGGUGUAUGGCCAGUAGUACUCCCUUACCAGUCAGUCCAUGCCGGUGUAUUGCCAGUAGUACUCCCUCACCGCUUAGUCCAUGCUGGUGUAUGGCGAGUGGUACUCCUUUACCGCUUAGUCCAGGCCGAUGUAUGGACGGUAGUACUCCCUUACUGCUCAGUCCCUGCUGGUGUAUGGCCGGUAGUACUCCCUUACCACUCAGUUAAUGCCGGUGUAUGGCCAGUAGUGCUCCCUUACCAGUCAAUCCAUGCCGGUGUAUGGCCGGUAGUACUCCCUUGCCACUCAGUCCAUGCCGGUGUAUGGCCAGUAGUACUCCCUUACCGCUCAGUCCAUGCUGGUGUAUGGCCAGUAGUACUCCCUUACCACUCAGUCCAUGCCGGUGUAUGGCCGGUAGUACUCCCUUACCAGUCAAUCCAUGCCGGUGUAUGGCCGGUAGUACUCCCUUACCACUCAGUCCAUGCCAGUGUAUGGCCAGUAGUUCUCCCUUACCGCUCAGUCCAUGCUGGUGUAUGGCCGGUAGUACUCCAUUACCACUCAGUCCAUGCCAGUGUAUGGCCAGUAGUACUACUACUCCCUUACCCGUCAGUCCAUACUGGUGUAUGGCUGGUAGUCUGUACCUAUGGGGAGUUUGCAGAAUAGGAAAGUCAUAGUUUUUUUGCAGUCGAACUCCGCAUUAAGAUGAAGUCCUUAUCUCCUUGGUCCUAUCUGCAGAAGAUCCUGCUGGGUGUAGAUUAGAAAGAGCAGAGCUACAUCUGGUCAGAGUAUUGCAGGACUUGACACAGUGUAACAUGCAAGCAAUUUGAAAAAAUACAGGGUUAUUUACUCAAGUGAGUUUUAAAUUUAAGUCAAGAAGCAUAGGUGAGUUAGAGAUAUCUUCCUUCCAGUUAUUCUGGACCACACAUUUCAAAUUAACUUAGAAUUCUCGCUGUAGUGGAUAACCCUGAUAUAAACACAGUGAGAAAGUGUAAACAAGUGAAUAAAAGGCUGAUUUAAAAAAAAACCAACCAAAUAGCAGCAACCAUAUAAGAGUCAAGACACAAAAGACUCACAGUAAAAAGAUGUGUGUAUAUAUAAGAUGUGUUUAACAAAAUGCAUGCAUAUAAAAGCUCAAUGUGUCCCAGGGGCGUACCUAGAGCAUUUGGCACCCCCCCCAAAAAAAAAAAAGAAAUCUGUAAAAAAUGUUAAAGGUUUUCUUUCUUUUUUUUACAAUUUGUAAACUUUGCAAAACCGCUGUCAGCCCCUCCUACAAAACCCUUGUCCUGCCCCGCCCCUCCUACAAAACCUCUGUCCUGCCCCUUCUACAAAUCCUGUACUGCCCGUCUACAAAACCCCCGCAACCCCCUUCCACAAAUCCCCUGCUUAUCNNNNNNNNNNNNNNNNNNNNNNNNNNNNNNNNNNNNNNNNNNNNNNNNNNNNNNNNNNNNNNNNNNNNNNNNNNNNNNNNNNNNNNNNNNNNNNNNNNNNCACCUCCCCCCUACCUCCCUGUAGCGUGGCCGAGCCCAGUAUAGUCGGCGGGUACAGGGAGCAGCUGUCUCCUGUACCCGUCGGACCAUGCUGCAGUGAGGGAGCUGACAGGAGCGCUCCCUCCUGUCAGCCUCUCCUCAGGCUGCGCCCGGGCGGUGCGGUCCGUCCUCAUGGACACACCGCCCGGGCAAAGCUGCAGCCGCCUGAGGCUCAAUACAGAGCGCUCGGGCGGCUGCAGCAUGAGGGGAGGGGUGGGCGGGGUGCUGGUCAUGGCACCCCCCACCCGGCUGGCACCCGGGGCGGACCGCACCCCCCUUAGUACGCCACUGAUGUGUCCGCUCUCUUUAAAAGUACACGUACUAAACCUAUUAUAGUAUUUCACUCAAGACAAAAGCAGCAGCCACUAUAGGUCCUCGGGGAUGUACUGGGCCAUGGAUAGCUGCCCCUUUUCCUCUUCUUUAAAGCCGGCUCUGUCCAUAGAUAAUGUAGACAACGGAUUGUGAGAUUCUACUCUAAUCCCUCAUCUUCUUUACAUGUUGUAGGUUCCCGCGUACAAAAUGAUAUUAACUGUGAAUGUGAAACGCCAUGCAGUACAGUGAGAUUCCAGAAGGAGUUGUCCAUGGUUCGAAUCCCCAGCAAGGCUUCAGCGGGCUAUCUGGCACAAAAAUACAGCAAGACCAAGGAGUACAUUGCG